GAACGCUUCACGGUUUUGCGUGUCGAUACAGAGAAGAUGAGCAUGGCUCCUACGCAAGGAUGACCGCAAAACCGUGAAGCAUUCCACAUUUUU
Non-coding RNA from Atta cephalotes, 93 nucleotides. The record is from Rfam. Lineage: Eukaryota; Metazoa; Arthropoda; Insecta; Hymenoptera; Formicidae.